AAAAAGGCAAACCCUGAGUUUCCGUGUCCAACUUUGACUAUCCGUCUUAUAUGAAAUUUUUUUAUAAUUCGUAUUUUCGUUGUUGUUAUAUUAUAAAACAUGAUUAAUAUUUUAUGCGUGACUUAUCUUUUUAAUUUUUUUUCAUAUUUUUUUUAAAUAAGACGGACGGUCAAAUGUUGGGCACGGAAACCAGGGUUUGUCUUUUU
Molecule: microRNA precursor, 206 nt
Filed under: Oryza glumipatula
Lineage: Eukaryota; Viridiplantae; Streptophyta; Magnoliopsida; Poales; Poaceae
Description: MIR812 microRNA precursor family
Rfam family: MIR812 microRNA precursor family
Source: Rfam by way of RNAcentral